This 496-nucleotide ribosomal RNA is filed under the name uncultured bacterium. RNAcentral describes it as "partial 16S ribosomal RNA". It matches the Rfam family "Bacterial small subunit ribosomal RNA", at positions 29 to 507 of the family's 1533-position model. The record is from RNAcentral.
AUGCACGCUGGCGGCGUGCCUAAUACCUGCCAGUCGAGCGAACAGAUGAGGAGCUUGCUCCUCUGACGCUAGCGGCGGACGGGUGAGUAACACGUGGAUAACCUACCUAUAAGACUGGGAUAACUUCGGGAAACCGGAGCUAAUACCGGAUAAUAUAUUGAACCGCAUGGUUCAAUAGUGAAAGACGGUUUUGCUGUCACUUAUAGAUGGAUCCGCGCCGCAUUAGCUAGUUGGUAAGGUAACGGCUUACCAAGGCAACGAUGCGUAGCCGACCUGAGAGGGUGAUCGGCCACACUGGAACUGAGACACGGUCCAGACUCCUACGGGAGGCAGCAGUAGGGAAUCUUCCGCAAUGGGCGAGAGCCUGACGGAGCAACGCCGCGUGAGUGAUGAAGGUCUUCGGAUCGUAAAACUCUGUUAUUAGGGAAGAACAAAUGUGUAAGUAACUAUGCACGUCUUGACGGUACCUAAUCAGAAAGCCACGGCUAACUACGUG